CAAACGGGUGGUAAUGCCGGAUGCUCCAGUUGAUCGCAUGGUCUUCUGGGAAAGCUUUCGCGGUAUGGGAUGGGGUCGCGUCCUAUCAGCUUGACGGCGGGGUAACGGCCCACCGUGGCUUCGACGGGUAGCCGGCCUGAGAGGGCGACCGGCCACAUUGGGACUGAGAUACGGCCCAGACUCCUACGGGAGGCAGCAGUGGGGAAUAUUGCACAAUGGGCGCAAGCCUGAUGCAGCGACGCCGCGUGAGGGAUGGAGGCCUUCGGGUUGUAAACCUCUUUUAUCGGGGAGCAAGCGAGAGUGAGUUUACCCGUUGAAUAAGCACCGGCUAACUACGUGCCAGCAGCCGCGGUAAUACGUAGGGUGCAAGCGUUAUCCGGAAUUAUUGGGCGUAAAGGGCUCGUAGGCGGUUCGUCGCGUCCGGUGUGAAAGUCCAUCGCUUAACGGUGGAUCCGCGCCGGGUACGGGCGGGCUUGAGUGCGGUAGGGGAGACUGGAAUUCCCGGUGUAACGGUGGAAUGUGUAGAUAUCGGAAA
RNAcentral lists this ribosomal RNA (535 nucleotides) under Bifidobacterium longum subsp. suillum. RNAcentral's name for it is "bacterial SSU rRNA". It matches the Rfam family "Bacterial small subunit ribosomal RNA", at positions 153 to 703 of the family's 1533-position model. Lineage: Bacteria; Bacillati; Actinomycetota; Actinomycetes; Bifidobacteriales; Bifidobacteriaceae. The record is from RNAcentral.